RNAcentral lists this ribosomal RNA (940 nucleotides) under uncultured Bradyrhizobium sp. Its description in RNAcentral is "bacterial SSU rRNA". It matches the Rfam family "Bacterial small subunit ribosomal RNA", at positions 45 to 1030 of the family's 1533-position model. Lineage: Bacteria; Pseudomonadati; Pseudomonadota; Alphaproteobacteria; Hyphomicrobiales; Nitrobacteraceae. The record is from RNAcentral.
GGCCUAACACAUGCAAGUCGAGCGGACGUAGCAAUACGUCAGCGGCAGACGGGUGAGUAACACGUGGGAACGUACCUUUUGGUUCGGAACAACACAGGGAAACUUGUGCUAAUACCGGAUAAGCCCUUACGGGGAAAGAUUUAUCGCCGAAAGAUCGGCCCGCGUCUGAUUAGCUAGUUGGUGAGGUAAUGGCUCACCAAGGCGACGAUCAGUAGCUGGUCUGAGAGGAUGAUCAGCCACAUUGGGACUGAGACACGGCCCAAACUCCUACGGGAGGCAGCAGUGGGGAAUAUUGGACAAUGGGGGCAACCCUGAUCCAGCCAUGCCGCGUGAGUGAUGAAGGCCCUAGGGUUGUAAAGCUCUUUUGUGCGGGAAGAUAAUGACGGUACCGCAAGAAUAAGCCCCGGCUAACUUCGUGCCAGCAGCCGCGGUAAUACGAAGGGGGCUAGCGUUGCUCGGAAUCACUGGGCGUAAAGGGUGCGUAGGCGGGUCUUUAAGUCAGGGGUGAAAUCCUGGAGCUCAACUCCAGAACUGCCUUUGAUACUGAAGGUCUUGAGUCCGGGAGAGGUGAGUGGAACUGCGAGUGUAGAGGUGAAAUUCGUAGAUAUUCGCAAGAACACCAGUGGCGAAGGCGGCUCACUGGCCCGGUACUGACGCUGAGGCACGAAAGCGUGGGGAGCAAACAGGAUUAGAUACCCUGGUAGUCCACGCCCUAAACGAUGGGUGCUAGUCGUUGGAACAUUAGUUUCGGUGACGCAGCUAACGCGUUAAGCACCCCGCCUGGGGAGUACGGUCGCAAGAUUAAAACUCAAAGGAAUUGACGGGGACCCGCACAAGCGGUGGAGCAUGUGGUUUAAUUCGAGGCUACGCGAAAAACCUUACCAGCUCUUGACAUCCUGAUAGCCGCUUUUGUAAUGAAAGCUUCGGUUCGGCCGGAUCA